GCCAGUGAGAGGGAGGGGGCGGGCUGCGGCGCCAAGCGGGGGGCUCAGUUAAACGUGCAGAGGAGGCGGGUCUGAGAGAAUAGUUAAAUUUUAAAAUGCCGAAAACGAAUGUGGAAAAAAAAGAAAAGAAGGCAGAAAAAAGAAAAAAGCUAAAGCAACGUGUGGCCCAAAAGGGAGAGCUGGAAUCGGAAACUGAACCAAAGAAAAAGAAACAAAAUCUGCAGGUAG
Aptenodytes forsteri (emperor penguin) is the source of this 228-nucleotide long non-coding RNA. RefSeq lists it as uncharacterized. The record is from RefSeq and is a predicted model, not a curated record. The transcript has 2 exons. NCBI's taxonomy places the organism in Eukaryota, Metazoa, Chordata, Aves, Sphenisciformes, Spheniscidae.